This 301-nucleotide ribosomal RNA is filed under the name uncultured bacterium. Its description in RNAcentral is "partial 16S ribosomal RNA". It matches the Rfam family "Bacterial small subunit ribosomal RNA", at positions 509 to 809 of the family's 1533-position model. The record is from RNAcentral.
CAGUCGCCGCGGGAAUACAGAGGGUACAAGCGUUAAUCGGAAUUACUGGGCGUAAAACGCGCGCAGGCGGUUAUAUAAGACAGAUGUGAAAUCCCCGGGCUCAACCUGGGAACUGCAUUUGUGACUGUAUAGCUAGAGUACGGCAGAGGGGGAUGGAAUUCCGCGUGUAGCAGUGAAAUGCGUAGAUAUGCGGAGGAACACCGAUGGCGAAGGCAAUCCCCUGGGCCUGUACUGACGCUCAUGCACGAAAGCGUGGGGAGCAAACAGGAUUAGAUACCCGUGUAGUCCCUGUCUCUUAUAA